UCGACUUUGUUGAAAGAAGUCCAAGAAAAAUACGGUUUACAUCAUGAAGUUCCUCGCUGUGUUCAUGGUAAUUGCUAUGGCGAUGGUGGCUGUCAGCGGACAGUGUAGGGACAGGCGACAACCGUGUCAAACCGAUAACGAUUGUUGCAACUUCGCUUGUCGCGGGCGUAGUAAGAUCUGCGCAUAAUGAGGAACCGAACCGGAUUGAUAUUGCGUCACCCUUCAAUGAAAAUCGUCUUCUGGGCCAUCUCGAUUUAUAUGAAAUACCUACGAAUAUCAGUUCUAAAAUAUGAAAUAACACAUAACUCUUCUGUAUGGAUUCCCAAUAAAUGCACGCGAUGAAAUGUA
Molecule: long non-coding RNA, 348 nt
Organism: Diachasma alloeum
Lineage: Eukaryota; Metazoa; Arthropoda; Insecta; Hymenoptera; Braconidae
Exons: 3
Source: RefSeq, a predicted model, not a curated record